GCGCGAAACCUCCGCAAUGUGAGAAAUCGCGACGGGGGGAUCCCAAGUGCCAUUCUUAACGGGAUGGCUUUUCAUUAGUGUAAAGAGCUUUUGGAAUAAGAGCUGGGCAAGACCGGUGCCAGCCGCCGCGGUAACACCGGCAGCUCUAGUGGUAGCAGUUUUUUAUUGGGCCUAAAGCGUCCGUAGCCGGUUUAAUAAGUCUCUGGUGAAAUCCUGCAGCUUAACUGUGGGAAUUGCUGGAGAUACUAUUAGACUUGAGAUCGGGAGAGGUUAGAGGUACUCCCAGGGUAGAGGUGAAAUUCUGUAAUCCUGGGAGACCGCCUGUUGCGAAGGCGUCUGACUGGAACGAUUCUGACGGUGAGGGACAAAGCUAGGGGCGCGAACCGGAUUAGAUACCCGGGUAGUCCUAGCUGUAAACGAUGCGGACUUGGUGUUGGGGUGGCUUUGAGCUGUCCCAGUGCCGAAGGGAAGCUGUUAAGUCCGCCGCCUGGGGAAGUACGGUCGCAAGACUAGAAACCUUAAAGGAAGUUGGGCGGGGGUAGCAACC
Molecule: ribosomal RNA, 547 nt
Filed under: uncultured Methanobacteriales archaeon
Lineage: Archaea; Methanobacteriati; Methanobacteriota; Methanobacteria; Methanobacteriales
Description: bacterial SSU rRNA
Rfam family: Archaeal small subunit ribosomal RNA
Source: RNAcentral